GGGGACGUGGCGGAAUGGUAGACGCGCACGCUUCAGGAGCGUGUGGGGCAACCCGUGAGAGUUCGACUCUCUCCGUCCCCACCA
This 84-nucleotide transfer RNA is filed under the name bacterium. Its description in RNAcentral is "tRNA-Leu". It matches the Rfam family "tRNA". From Rfam's summary of the family: Transfer RNA (tRNA) molecules are approximately 80 nucleotides in length. Their secondary structure includes four short double-helical elements and three loops (D, anti-codon, and T loops). Further hydrogen bonds mediate the characteristic L-shaped molecular structure. tRNAs have two regions of fundamental functional importance: the anti-codon, which is responsible for specific mRNA codon recognition, and the 3' end, to which the tRNAs corresponding amino acid is attached (by aminoacyl-tRNA synthetases). tRNAs cope with the degeneracy of the genetic code in two manners: having more than one tRNA (with a specific anti-codon) for a particular amino acid; and 'wobble' base-pairing, i.e. permitting non-standard base-pairing at the 3rd anti-codon position. The record is from RNAcentral.